CCUACGGGUGGCAGCAGUGAGGAAUAUUGGUCAAUGGACGAGAGUCUGAACCAGCCAAGCAGCGUGAAGGAUGACUGCUCUAUGGGUUGUAAACUUCUUUUGUAUGAGAAUAAACCGUUCUACGUGUGUGAUUCUGUAUGUACCAUACGAAUAAGGAUCGGCUAACUCCGUGCCAGCAGCCGCGGUAAUACGGAGGAUCCGAGCGUUAUCCGGAUUUAUUGGGUUUAAAGGGAGCGUAGGUGGAUUGUUAAGUUAGUGGUGAAAGUUCGGGGCUCAACCGUGAAAUUGCAGUUGAAACUGGCAGUCUAGAGUAUAGUGGCGGUAGGCGGAAUGCAUGGUGUAGCGGUGAAAUGCUUAGAGAUCACACAGAACACCGAUUGCGAAGGCAGCUUACCAAUCUACAGCUGACGCUGAGGCACGAAAGUGUGGGGAUCAAACAGGAUUAGAUACCCCAGUAGUC
RNAcentral lists this ribosomal RNA (460 nucleotides) under uncultured bacterium. RNAcentral's name for it is "partial 16S ribosomal RNA". It matches the Rfam family "Bacterial small subunit ribosomal RNA", at positions 338 to 795 of the family's 1533-position model. The record is from RNAcentral.